Molecule: ribosomal RNA, 253 nt
Filed under: uncultured bacterium
Lineage: Bacteria
Description: partial 16S ribosomal RNA
Rfam family: Bacterial small subunit ribosomal RNA
Source: RNAcentral
UACGUAGGGACCGAGCGUUGUCCGGAAUCAUUGGGCGUAAAGAGCGUGUAGGCGGCUAUUUAAGUCCUGCGUGAAAUCCUGCGGCUCAACCGCAGACGGUCGUGGGAAACUGGAUGGCUAGAGUGCGGGAGAGGAGAGUGGAAUUCCCGGUGUAGCGGUGAAAUGCGCAGAUAUCGGGAAGAACACCCGUGGCGAAGGCGGCUCUCUGGAACGCAACUGACGCUGAGGAGCGAAAGCAUGGGGAGCGAACAGG